Molecule: ribosomal RNA, 514 nt
Filed under: Bolitoglossa sp. k MWI-2020
Lineage: Eukaryota; Metazoa; Chordata; Amphibia; Caudata; Plethodontidae
Description: partial large subunit ribosomal RNA
Rfam family: Bacterial large subunit ribosomal RNA
Source: RNAcentral
CGCCUUUUGUAAUAUAUAAUAUAAAAGGUCCUGCCUGCCCAAUGACUUGUUUUAAUGGCCGCGGUAUUGUGACCGUGCAAAGGUAGCGUAAUCAUUUGUCUUUUAAAUAAAGACCAGUAUGAACGGCAAGACGAAAGCCUUACUGUCUCCCUAGCCUAAUCAGUGAAAUUGAUCUUCCCGUGCAGAAGCGGGAAUAUAAAUAUAAGACGAGAAGACCCUGUGGAGCUUUAAACUUUAGCUAACACUUACAAAUGCUUUAGUAUCAAGUUUUAGGUUGGGGCGACCAUGAGGUAAAAUACAACCCUCACGAUUUAAUCAAGAAGGACACUUCAAACAACUAAUAUAGCACAUUGACCCAAUAAUUGAUCAACGAACCAAGUUACCCCAGGGAUAACAGCGCAAUCUACUCAAAGAGUCCAUAUCGACGAGCAGGUUUACGACCUCGAUGUUGGAUCAGGACCCCCAAGUAGCGCAACAGCUAUUAAAGGUUCGUUUGUUCAACGAUUAAAGUCCU